RNAcentral lists this unclassified non-coding RNA (208 nucleotides) under uncultured Cortinarius. RNAcentral's name for it is "sequence contains ITS2". The record is from RNAcentral. Lineage: Eukaryota; Fungi; Basidiomycota; Agaricomycetes; Agaricales; Cortinariaceae.
AUAUAUCAACCUCUUCAGCUUUUUGCAAGUUGAGUGUUGGAUGUGGGGGUAUUUUUUGCUGGACUCUAUACAAUCUGAGGUCAGCUCCCCUAAAAUGCAUUAGCGAAACUAUUUGUUUACUGCUCAUUGGUGUGAUAACUAUCUACGCUAUUGACGGUGAAGCAUGUUUAGCUUCUAACAGUCCAUUAACUUGGACAAUCUCUUAUUA